Molecule: long non-coding RNA, 2391 nt
Organism: Rosa chinensis
Lineage: Eukaryota; Viridiplantae; Streptophyta; Magnoliopsida; Rosales; Rosaceae
Exons: 2
Source: RefSeq, a predicted model, not a curated record
ACCGAGUCGCUCCAGUUAUUUGCUUCGUGGCUGCGCGAUGUUGGGAUGCAGGGAGAGAGAGAGAGAGAACGAAGGAACUAGAGGAAGAAGAAGAGAUUCAACAAUAUAUAGACAGCGAUGGUGAUUGCUCAGGAAGGGUUUUUUUUUUUCUUUCUCUAAUUGGGCAUUGAUUUGGGUUUGCGAUUUCCGUUAGUACAGUAAUUAGAUGAACAGCUGUAUCUAAUAUUGAACCCAGAUGGAGUCAAAGCUUUCGACGAGGAUUACCAAGAGUUUGAGUCUCUUCAUGCUGUCAACAUUAAGCAAGUCUACAGAACUGGGUUUCACUUUCGACCUCCCGGCCACUGGAUUAACAGUACUCAAUUUUGUUUGAUCUCCUUACUGUCAACUAACCACUAAUAUUUGUUUAAUUAAAUCAUGAUGUUUUUCUCAAUUCUCAGAAAGUAGUUUUUGCGUUUGGUCCAUGCACUACGUUUUUCUUUGCAAUUUCUUUAUUCAUGUUUAGCAAGCUGAAAUAAAAAAAUUAAAAAAAAGUACAUAUAAGAAUAUGAGAACUUUAUAAGGGGAAAGAAAUCAUUUUACGAAAUGGGAUAUGAUCAUAAACUCCCAUUGUGCCUGCCUUUGAAUCCUAAGAAUGGGCAGAAAUUCAGGAACAAAAAUCGGUUUACUAUUGUGCUGGUGAAAUUGUUUACAUGUGGUUUAAUUGCUUCAUGGUUGUUCUUUGUUUCCAGUGGGACUGAAGUAUGUCUAUUGAUUUUCAAAAGCUUUGAUGUUUUGCUAGGAGAGAUUAGGCUCUUCUUUCACAAGGUUUCAUGAUUCUGCUUCUGAACAUAUAAACCACUGUUGCAUAUCAUAAUUAUAGAAUCAUCUCAAUGAAAAUGCUUGAUUCUGUGCCACCUUAAAUAAGAUUUAGAGGCUGAAGUAGAUUAUGAUAUUCAUUGUCUAUUCUUACAAUUCUAGAAGAUUUGUGAGGAUCAUGAUAUAACUGGAUAUGGCACAUCUCUUAUAUUGUUGUUGGCUACGGAAUCUUAUUCUGUUAAGGUAGGAUUACUGUUUUGUUAUGAUUAUUUAGUUGAGAUUUGAUAUGCAGGGAUUUUUCUUACAACAACUUCACUUGGGAAAGCUCAACCUCACUUCCUACCGAAUGUGAUAGAGGGAGUGUGUGUGAGUAUGAUAUAUGCUAUACAUAUCUUUCUCUUAAAUCUUAGCCAAUUACUUUGUAGAGUGUGAUAAAGACUGCAUUGCAGAAAAGCAUGAAACUACAUUCAAGAAAAUUUGCUUCUCCAUACCCUCCAGAUAUAAAAGUAAAAGUAUGAAUUAAAUUAUUAUGUCUAGAAUGUCAUUCAGUACCCUUUGCACUCCUUGCUGUUUCUUCCACUUCUAUUUUAUUACUGGAAUGGGCAUAUUGACAUGUAGGUGAAGCUUACAACUUGAAUUCAUUUACCGAGUUCUUUUUUUCGAGAUUUUGUUAGAUAUAUGUAGACAAAUUCUUUUUAUUACAGAUGAAAAGUAUAAAUUUUGCGGGGGAAGAGUCAUAAAGCAAAACAUAUGAAUGAGGUUUAACAUAAUAUUAUAGUGCCACCAAAAAACUCAAGGACUUUACUGCAACAAAAAAUACAGUAUAUGGUAUUCAUCAUUCAUGAAAUCGCUCAAUGUAUGUGAACUCUACAUAAAGAAAAAUUCUAACGGCAAUUGACAUACCACAGAAAUAGCUUUUUAUUAGAUGUCUUUUUAUAAACUGUACUAAUUAUUCCUCUAUGCUAAUCGGAACCUGCAUGUAUUUCUUUGACUUUUGUUUUAGAUGAAUUCCAGUUAUGGUAAUGUACAGCUUGGUCUCAUACCCUUAGUUUAUAAUUCUGUAGUGGUAUUCAAGCAAUUCAAAGUAGUUCUGCUGUUUAAUAUGAAGUUGCAGAAAUUGAAGAAAGCAAUGCUCUAGCUCUUGCUCUUGCCAUAUUUCCACAUUGUAGGCUCAAAUGCUUGGGAUCAAGAAAACUUUGCCAAAUGUGAAUUGUGGAAUUUGAUGAUCAUCGACUAUUUUGCCUUGCAGGGACUGAACCACAAUCUGGAUCUAUUUUGAGUGAUAUUGGUGGGAGUUCAGGAUGUGAAUGAUGCACAGAACCUCAGGCACUGAACCACAAUCUGGAUUAAAUUUGAAUAUGAUUGGUGGAACUUCAGGUUGAGAAUGAUGAACAGUAACUCAAGGACUGAACCAAAUCAGUUUUGGGAAAUCCCUAUGAUUCCAUUUUUGAUUAUAUCAGAUGUUUUUAACGUCUAUUAAAAUUGUGCUAUCUAUUACCCAAACCAGUGUCAUUUCUUUAUGGAAUAAUGGCCAUCAUGUUUCUCUAUCUAAAUAUUUUAGCUUUUGAUUAAUUCGUGUACUGAGUUUAGCCUUCA